This is a long non-coding RNA of Lycium barbarum (goji berry), 749 nucleotides long. RefSeq lists it as uncharacterized. The transcript has 2 exons. NCBI's taxonomy places the organism in Eukaryota, Viridiplantae, Streptophyta, Magnoliopsida, Solanales, Solanaceae. The record is from RefSeq and is a predicted model, not a curated record.
CGCAGUUGAGUUUCGGGUCACCUGACUUCGGGAGGCCAUAACCCCAUCGUAAGUUGAGAAUUUGGAAAAACGCAAAGAAUGAAAGUUGUAGAUAAUUGAAAUACCUUUCCAACCAUAGGUUGUGGGUUCACAGGCGACGUCGGGAUAGGGAGAUAUGGACGUUUUAAGACAGAACAGUCCCGACCCGUUUUCAAGUUGGGUCAACCCAUUUUCCCCUUGGUAUAUAUAGAAAAUAAAACCCUAGCAGCCCACUUUUUCUCCAAAAUUCAGAUUUUAGAGAGAGGAAGUGAGAGAGAAGGGAAUCUAGAGAGAAGAAGGAGAAAAUCAACCAAUUUUAAGGCCCCAAAUCCCAAAGUUCGUGAAGGAUAAUUUGUAGUACAAGUUGUGGUCGUCAUUUUAAGCUAAAGAUCGGACUUGGGGGUGUUGAUUUCGUGGUGACUACCCAAAAAGGUACGGAGUUACAGGACGACGCUUCUGAUCAUUAGGAUUUACUCGUACCAGCUUAUCGGUGAGCCCCAUCUCAUUCGGGGUUUAAACAUUGUAUUUCUCUGUUUAGUUUUGCAUGUAAAGGUAUGCUGGGGGCCUUGUCCCAGUAAUUAUGUUUUCCAGUCAGACUCAUGAUAGAGGUUUCAUAGACUAGACCAGUCAGUUAUGUUAUGUCAGACAUUUGGAGUCGUAUAGCCAUUUUGGCUCACUCAUGUUUUAAACAAGUACUUUAUUAAGUAUUAUGAAUUAUUACGUUUUACAAA